GAAAGGAGGAUUAAUACACCGUAACAUAACGAAAUGGCAUCUAUUUUGUUAUUAUAGCAGCAAUGUCGGUUUGGAUAGGCGUGCGCCUGAUUAGGUAGUUGGCGGGUAACGGCCCACCAAGCCUACGAUCAGUAACUGGUGUGAGAGCACGACCAGUCACACGGGCACUGAGACACGGGCCCGACUCCUACGGGAGGCAGCAGUAAGGAAUAUUGGUCAAUGGACGAAAGUCUGAACCAGCCAUGCCGCGUGAAGGAUGAAGGUCCUCUGGAUUGUAAACUUCUUUUAUCUGGGACGAAAAAAGGGAAUUCUUUCUCACUUGACGGUACCAGAAGAAUAAGCACCGGCUAACUCCGUG
This 358-nucleotide ribosomal RNA is filed under the name uncultured bacterium. RNAcentral describes it as "bacterial SSU rRNA". It matches the Rfam family "Bacterial small subunit ribosomal RNA", at positions 153 to 507 of the family's 1533-position model. The record is from RNAcentral.